AGUGAACGCUGGCGGUAGGCCUAACACAUGCAAGUCGAACGGCAGCACAGUAAGAGCUUGCUCUUACGGGUGGCGAGUGGCGGACGGGUGAGGAAUACAUCGGAAUCUACUUUUUCGUGGGGGAUAACGUAGGGAAACAUACGCUAAUACCGCAUACGACCAACGGGUGAAAGCAGGGGAUCUUCGGACCUUGCGCGAUUGAAUGAGCCGAUGUCGGAUUAGCUAGUUGGCGGGGUAAAGGCCCACCAAGGCGAUGAUCCGUAGCUGGUCUGAGAGGAUGAUCAGCCACACUGGAACUGAGACACGGUCCAGACUCCUACGGGAGGCAGCAGUGGGGAAUAUUGGACAAUGGGCGCAAGCCUGAUCCAGCCAUGCCGCGUGGGUGAAGAAGGCCUUCGGGUUGUAAAGCCCUUUUGUUGGGAAAGAAAAGCAGCAGGUUAAUACCCCGCUGUUCUGACGGUACCCAAAGAAUAAGCACCGGCUAACUUCGUG
This 492-nucleotide ribosomal RNA is filed under the name uncultured bacterium. Its description in RNAcentral is "partial 16S ribosomal RNA". It matches the Rfam family "Bacterial small subunit ribosomal RNA", at positions 29 to 507 of the family's 1533-position model. The record is from RNAcentral.